RNAcentral lists this ribosomal RNA (497 nucleotides) under uncultured bacterium. RNAcentral describes it as "partial 16S ribosomal RNA". It matches the Rfam family "Bacterial small subunit ribosomal RNA", at positions 28 to 507 of the family's 1533-position model. The record is from RNAcentral.
GAUGAACGCUGGCGGCGUGCCUAAUACAUGCAAGUCGAGCGAACAGACGAGGAGCUUGCUCCUCUGACGUUAGGGGCGGACGGGUGAGUAACACGUGGAUAACCUACCUAUAAGACUGGGAUAACUUCGGGAAACCGGAGCUAAUACCGGAUAAUAUAUUGAACCGCAUGGUUCAAUAGUGAAAGACGGUUUUGCUGUCACUUAUAGAUGGAUCCGCGCCGCAUUAGCUAGUUGGUAAGGUAACGGCUUACCAAGGCAACGAUGCGUAGCCGACCUGAGAGGGUGAUCGGCCACACUGGAACUGAGACACGGUCCAGACUCCUACGGGAGGCAGCAGUAGGGAAUCUUCCGCAAUGGGCGAAAGCUUGACGGAGCAACGCCGCGUGAGUGAUGAAGGUCUUCGGAUCGUAAAACUCUGUUAUUAGGGAAGAACAAAUGUGUAAGUAACUAUGCACGUCUUGACGGUACCUAAUCAGAAAGCCACGGCUAACUACGUG